CGCGUAAGAACCUACCUUUUGGUUGAGGGAUACCAACUGGAAACGGUUGCUAAUACUUCGUAUGCUGAGAAGUGAAAGGUGGAAACAUCGCCAAGAGAGGGGCUUGCGUCUGAUUAGCUAGUUGGUAAGGUAAAGGCUUACCAAGGCUAUGAUCAGUAGCUGGUUUGAGAGGACGAUCAGCCACACUGGGACUGAGACACGGCCCAGAUCCCUACGGGGAGCAGCAGUGAGGAAUCUUCCGCAAUGGGCGAAAGCCUGACGGAGCACUAUCGCGUGGAGGAAGACGGCUCGUGAGUUGUA
Molecule: ribosomal RNA, 300 nt
Filed under: uncultured bacterium
Lineage: Bacteria
Description: bacterial SSU rRNA
Rfam family: Bacterial small subunit ribosomal RNA
Source: RNAcentral